This 46-nucleotide non-coding RNA is filed under the name Trichobilharzia regenti. The record is from RNAcentral. Lineage: Eukaryota; Metazoa; Platyhelminthes; Trematoda; Strigeidida; Schistosomatidae.
GUGCUGAUGAAGAGUCCCAAACUAAGACGACACAGCUGUCCAGCAC